AACGCUAGCUACAGGCUUAACACAUGCAAGUCGAGGGGCAUCAGGGAUUAGCAAUAAUCCGCUGGCGACCGGCGCACGGGUGAGUAACACGUAUCCAACCUUCCUUUAACUCGGGGAUAGCCUUUCGAAAGAAAGAUUAAUACCCGAUAAUAUAAGCUAACCUCCUGGUUUACUUAUUAAAGAAUUUCGGUUAUCGAUGGGGAUGCGUUCCAUUAGGCAGUUGGCGGGGUAACGGCCCACCAAACCUACGAUGGAUAGGGGUUCUGAGAGGAAGGUCCCCCACAUUGGAACUGAGACACGGUCCAAACUCCUACGGGAGGCAGCAGUGAGGAAUAUUGGUCAAUGGACGUAAGUCUGAACCAGCCAAGUAGCGUGAAGGAUGACUGCCCUAUGGGUUGUAAACUUCUUUUAUAUGGGAAUAAAGUGCACCACGUGUGGUGUUUUGUAUGUACCAUUAUGAAUAAGCAUCGGCUAACUCCGUGCCAGCAGCCGCGGUAAUACGGAGGAUGCGAGCGUUAUCCGGAUUUAUUGGGUUUAAAGGGAGCGUAGGUGGAUUGAUAAGUCAGCCUGUGAAAGUUUGCGGCUCAACCGUAAAAUUGCAGUUGAUACUGGAAGUCUUGAGUACAGUUGAGGUAUGCGGAAUUCGUGGUGUAGCGGUGAAAUGCUUAGAUAUCACGAAGAACUCCGAUUG
This 691-nucleotide ribosomal RNA is filed under the name uncultured bacterium. RNAcentral describes it as "bacterial SSU rRNA". It matches the Rfam family "Bacterial small subunit ribosomal RNA", at positions 32 to 715 of the family's 1533-position model. The record is from RNAcentral.